RNAcentral lists this ribosomal RNA (477 nucleotides) under uncultured bacterium. RNAcentral's name for it is "bacterial SSU rRNA". It matches the Rfam family "Bacterial small subunit ribosomal RNA", at positions 365 to 832 of the family's 1533-position model. The record is from RNAcentral.
UUCGCAAUGCCCGAAAGGGUGACGAAGCGACGCCGCGUGUGGGAAGAAGGCCUUCGGGUUGUAAACCACUGUCGGGAGUUAAGAAAUGCAAGGAUAUUAAUAGUGUCUUUGUUUGACUAAGGCUCCGGAGGAAGCCACGGCUGACUCUGUGCCAGCAGCCGCGGUAAUACCGAGGCGGCAAGCGUUGUUCGGAAUUAUUGGGCGUAAAGAGCACGUAGGCGGCUAUGUAAGUCGGUUGUGAAAGCCUUCCGCUCAACGGAAGAACAGCAUCCGAUACUACAUGGCUUGAGUGCGGGAGGGGAGAGUGGAACUUCUGGUGGAGCGGUGAAAUGCGUAGAUAUCAGAAGGAACGCCGGCGGCGAAAGCGGCUCUCUGGCCCAUAACUGACGCUGAGUGUGCGAAAGCUAGGGGAGCAAACGGGAUUAGAUACCCCGGUAGUCCUAGCCGUAAACGAUGGGCACUAAGUAGAGGGGUUUU